AGGGAAUAUUGCAAAAUGGGCGAAAGCCCGAUGCAGCAACGCCGCGUGGGCGAUGAAGGCCUUCGGGUCGUAAAGCCCUUUUUGAGGGGAUGAGGAAGGACAGUACCCUCAGAAUAAGCCUCGGCUAACUACGUGCCAGCAGCCGCGGUAAAACGUAGGAGGCGAGCGUUAUCCGGAUUUACUGGGCGUAAAGCGCGUGCAGGCGGAUUGGAGAGUUGGAUGUGAAGGCUCCCGGCUUAACUGGGAGAGGUCGUUCAAUACUUCCAGUCUUGAGUGCAGUAGAGGGAAGUGGAAUUCCGGGUGUAGUGGUGAAAUGCGUAGAUAUCCGGGGGAACACCAGUGGCGAAAGCGGCUUCCUGGACUGUAACUGACGCUCAGACGCGAAAGCUAGGGUAGCAAACG
This 402-nucleotide ribosomal RNA is filed under the name uncultured bacterium. RNAcentral describes it as "bacterial SSU rRNA". It matches the Rfam family "Bacterial small subunit ribosomal RNA", at positions 356 to 774 of the family's 1533-position model. The record is from RNAcentral.